This 89-nucleotide transfer RNA is filed under the name Streptomyces griseus. RNAcentral describes it as "tRNA-???(ggta)". Lineage: Bacteria; Bacillati; Actinomycetota; Actinomycetes; Kitasatosporales; Streptomycetaceae. The record is from RNAcentral.
UCCACUGGGCCGUGGCGUGCGACGUGUCCUGGUACGGGCCCUGGUAGCCGCCCUGCCCGUCCUGCUGGUUCGGGUCCGGCCAGUGGACC